AAAAGUAGUCCCGGUCGUAGUCUAACUGAUAUCUGGGUUGGUUAGACUACGAACUGAAACAAAACAGUCAUGGUUUAAAGUACUGUUAAAUGGGAUCAA
Long non-coding RNA from Haliotis rubra (blacklip abalone), 99 nucleotides. RefSeq lists it as uncharacterized. The record is from RefSeq and is a predicted model, not a curated record. Lineage: Eukaryota; Metazoa; Mollusca; Gastropoda; Lepetellida; Haliotidae. The transcript has 3 exons.